GUCGACGAUGAAGCCCUUCGGGGUGGAUUAGUGGCGAACGGGUGAGUAACACGUGGGUAAUCUGCCCUGUACUUUGGGAUAAGCCCUGGAAACGGGGUCUAAUACCGGAUAUGACUGCGCAUCGCAUGGUGUGUGGUGGAAAGCUCCGGCGGUAUGGGAUGAACCCGCGGCCUAUCAGCUUGUUGGUGGGGUAAAAGCCUACCAAGGCGACGACGGGUAGCCGGCCUGAGAGGGCGACCGGCCACACUGGGACUGAGACACGGCCCAGACUCCUACGGGAGGCAGCAGUGGGGAAUAUUGCACAAUGGGCGCAAGCCUGAUGCAGCGACGCCGCGUGAGGGAUGACGGCCUUCGGGUUGUAAACCUCUUUCGACAGGGACGAAGGGCAACUGACGGUACCUGUAGAAGAAGCACCGGCUAACUACGUGCCAGCAGCCGCGGUAAUACGUAGGGUGCGAGCGUUGUCCGGAAUUAUUGGGCGUAAAGAGCUCGUAGGCGGUUUGUCGCGUCGGCCGUGAAAACUGGAGGCUUAACCUUCAGCUUGCGGUCGAUACGGGCAGACUUGAGUUCGGUAGGGGAGACUGGAAUUCCUGGUGUAGCGGUGAAAUGCGCAGAUAUCAGGAGGAACACCGGUGGCG
RNAcentral lists this ribosomal RNA (638 nucleotides) under bacterium 28-L049641-122-013-D04. RNAcentral describes it as "bacterial SSU rRNA". It matches the Rfam family "Bacterial small subunit ribosomal RNA", at positions 61 to 717 of the family's 1533-position model. The record is from RNAcentral.